Molecule: small nucleolar RNA, 128 nt
Organism: Elgaria multicarinata webbii
Lineage: Eukaryota; Metazoa; Chordata; Lepidosauria; Squamata; Anguidae
Product: small nucleolar RNA SNORD22
Exons: 1
Source: RefSeq, a predicted model, not a curated record
UCCCAAUGAUGAGAUCACGGCGUGUCUUACGCUCUGCCUUGGCACCAGAACCUGUAAAGGUUGAACCCACUGGAGCCAGCAGAGGGAAAAGAGGAAACACGGUCCCAAAAGGAACUGUCUGAUGGGAU